GAAGACCUGUAAAACUUUUAUUUACAUCUCCUGAAUGCAACUCAGACACUUUCACUAAGCUAAGGCCUC
This 69-nucleotide transfer RNA is filed under the name Ablepharus himalayanus (Himalaya ground skink). Its description in RNAcentral is "tRNA-Ala". The record is from RNAcentral. Lineage: Eukaryota; Metazoa; Chordata; Lepidosauria; Squamata; Scincidae.